Molecule: non-coding RNA, 181 nt
Filed under: Lachnospiraceae bacterium
Lineage: Bacteria; Bacillati; Bacillota; Clostridia; Lachnospirales; Lachnospiraceae
Description: 6S RNA
Rfam family: 6S / SsrS RNA
About the family: E. coli 6S RNA was the first non coding RNA to be sequenced, but its function was unknown until recently. It consists of 184 nucleotides that fold into an extended hairpin structure with a large single-stranded internal bulge.
Source: RNAcentral
AUAAUCCUGGGAUGUUCGAUACCCUGUUAUUUUGAACCUACAUUUACUUUUAUGGGAUUCUUAUAUUGCCGAUUGGAUGUCAGGCCGUCAUAACGCAGCGGAAGGCAGAAGAGAGGUUGCGGUUACCCACCUGGCUUAGGCUAGGAGUCAAAAUUGCAGGAAACGGCAUUUUGGGUGUACU